Cebus imitator (Panamanian white-faced capuchin) is the source of this 174-nucleotide long non-coding RNA. RefSeq lists it as uncharacterized. The transcript has 3 exons. The record is from RefSeq and is a predicted model, not a curated record. NCBI's taxonomy places the organism in Eukaryota, Metazoa, Chordata, Mammalia, Primates, Cebidae.
AAUCCAAUUCAGGACAAACAACAGCUUUUGAUUUAGAACCAGCUCUUACUUUUCUCUUGUGUCACACGUGAUGAAGUCCUCACUUGAUAUUCCCCCCUGUAAAUUGCAAUGCAUGUCCUCGCCUUCGCCUUUUUCUGACACUUUAAAAUUAAUUUAUAGGCCGGGCAUGGUGGU